GCCGCCCACGCGGUCUGGGCAGGGCCGAAGCGCACGCCCGGAAGAGUGGCUGGCUAGUCCCCCGCCGAGCCGGGGAGGGGAGGACCGCAGUGGGCGCCUCCUGCUCGCGCCCCCGCGCGGGUAGGCAGCAGCAGCGGCGACACUGGGCCCAAGACUGCGCCAGCCUGCCCUGAUCUACAGGAGGCCGCCACCACAGACCCUGACAAAGAAUGAGCAGUCUCUUGAAGGACUAUGUGACAACAGUCCUCACCUCCUCCAUCCUCACCUAUAUCCUUGGAAAAAGGCCUACUCCAGGCAGAGGCAUUACUCCAGGAUGCUGAAGAUGAGACCCGUGGACAGGAGACAAAAAGGAUGUCUUGGGUAUCAUUAAGAUAAAAUCUACAGAGCACAGUCAAAUUUCAGAAUCAAAAGCCUCAAAUCAAAAAACCUCAAAAGCCGAUUCUGAGGGAUCCAAUUCAGAACUGAACAAAAAUCUAACCUUACAAUGUGUCCAACUGCUAAAAGAUCUAUAUGGUAAGGCAAGCUUAUUACCUCCUUAGCUAGUCUGUUA
RNAcentral lists this long non-coding RNA (550 nucleotides) under Phascolarctos cinereus (koala). Its description in RNAcentral is "lncRNA (ENSPCIG00000007230.2)". Lineage: Eukaryota; Metazoa; Chordata; Mammalia; Diprotodontia; Phascolarctidae. The record is from RNAcentral.